CUACGUGCCAGCAGCCGCGGUAAUACGGAAGGUCCAGGCGUUAUCCGGAUUUAUUGGGUUUAAAGGGAGCGUAGGCUGGAGAUUAAGUGUGUUGUGAAAUGUAGACGCUCAACGUCUGAAUUGCAGCGCAUACUGGUUUCCUUGAGUACGCACAACGUUGGCGGAAUUCGUCGUGUAGCGGUGAAAUGCUUAGAUAUGACGAAGAACUCCGAUUGCGAAGGCAGCUGACGGGAGCGCAACUGACGCUUAAGCUCGAAGGUGCGGGUAUCAAACAGGAUUAGAUACCCUGGUAGUCCGCACAGUAAACGAUGGAUGCCCGCUGUUGGUACCUGGUAUCAGCGGCUAAGCGAAAGCAUUAAGCAUCCCMCCUGGGGAGUACGCCGGCAACGGUGAAACUCAAAGGAAUUGACGGGGGCCCGCACAAGCGGAGGAACAUGUGGUUUAAUUCGAUGAUACGCGAGGAACCUUACCCGGGCUUGAA
This 481-nucleotide ribosomal RNA is filed under the name uncultured bacterium. Its description in RNAcentral is "bacterial SSU rRNA". It matches the Rfam family "Bacterial small subunit ribosomal RNA", at positions 501 to 985 of the family's 1533-position model. The record is from RNAcentral.